CGGCAUUGGGCAAGGUUUCCUGCGCCUGGCGCUUGAUCAGCGCCAGGCGUUUGGGGUCGAGCGCCGGGUCGAAACCGACAAUGUCGACCA
Molecule: transfer RNA, 90 nt
Filed under: Pseudomonas fluorescens
Lineage: Bacteria; Pseudomonadati; Pseudomonadota; Gammaproteobacteria; Pseudomonadales; Pseudomonadaceae
Description: tRNA-Ile
Source: RNAcentral